RNAcentral lists this ribosomal RNA (1052 nucleotides) under uncultured Verrucomicrobiota bacterium. RNAcentral describes it as "bacterial SSU rRNA". It matches the Rfam family "Bacterial small subunit ribosomal RNA", at positions 357 to 1393 of the family's 1533-position model. The record is from RNAcentral. Lineage: Bacteria; Pseudomonadati; Verrucomicrobiota.
GAGAAUAAUUCACAAUGGGGGCAACCCUGAUGGUGCAACGCCGCGUGGAGGAUGACGGUCUUCGGAUUGUAAACUCCUGUCAUCUGGGAGUAAGACCUGGCUGUUAAUAGCCGACAGGGUUGAUAGUACCGGAAGAGGAAGGGACGGCUAACUUCGUGCCAGCAGCCGCGGUAAUACGAAGGUCCCGAGCGUAGGUUCGGAAUCACUGGGCGUAAAGGGAGCGUAGGCGGCGCGGUAAGUCAGAUGUGAAAAUCCCGGGGCUCAACCCCCGGAACUGCAUCCGAUACUGCCGUGCUAGAGGAUUGGAGAGGUAGCUUGGAAUUCUUGGUGUAGCAGUGAAAUGCGUGGAUAUCAAGAGGAACACUCGUGUGCGAAAGCGAGCUACUGGACAACUCCUGACGCUGAGGCUCGAAGGCUAGGGUAGCGAAAGGGAUUAGAUACCCCUGUAGUCCUGGCAGUAAACGGUGCACGCUUGGUGUGAGGGGAAUCGACCCCCCUUGUGCCGGAGCUAACGCGUUAAGCGUGCCGCCUGGGAAGUACGGUCGCAAGACUAAAACUCAAAGAAAUUGACGGGGACCCGCACAAGCGGUGGAGUAUGUGGCUUAAUUCGAUGCAACGCGAAGAACCUUACCAAGGCUUGACAUGGAUUUCUAAGCACGUGAAAGCGUGUGACCCUUCGGGGAACUUCCACAGGUGCUGCUUGGCUGUCGUCAGCUCGGUGUCGUGAGAUGUUGGGUUAAGUCCCGCAACGAACGCAACCCUUGUGAUUAGUUGCCAGCACGUUAUGGGUGGGAACUCUAAUCAGACUGCCCAGAUCAACUGGGAGGAAGGUGGGGACGACGUCAGGUCAGUAUGGCCCUUACGCCUUGGGCUGCACACGUACUACAAUGCCCAGCACAAUGAGAACCGAUACCGCGAGGUGGAGGAAAUCUAUAAAACUGGGCCCAGUUCGGAUUGGAGGCUGCAACUUCGCCUCCAUGAAGUUGGAAUCGCUAGUAAUAACACAUCAUCUACGGUGCCGUGAAUACGUUCCCGGGCCUUGUACACACCGC